GAGUUUGAUCCUGGCUCAGAACGAACGCUGGCGGCAUGCCUAAACAUGCAAGUCGAACGGGUGUAGCAAUACACCAGUGGCAGACGGGUGCGUAACACGUGGGAAUCUGCCCAGAGGUUCGGAAUAGCUGCGGGAAACUGCAGGUAAUACCGAAUGUCGCCUGAGGGCUAAAGGAGCAAUCCGCCUUUGGAGGGGCCCGCGUCCGAUUAGCUAGUUGGCGAGGUAACGGCUCACCAAGGCUACGAUCGGUAGCUGGUCUGAGAGGAUGACCAGCCACACUGGAACUGAGAUACGGUCCAGACUCCUACGGGAGGCAGCAGUUGGGAAUAUUGGACAAUGGGGGAAACCCUGAUCCAGCAAUGCCGCGUGGGUGAUGAAGGCCUUC
RNAcentral lists this ribosomal RNA (385 nucleotides) under uncultured Alphaproteobacteria bacterium. Its description in RNAcentral is "bacterial SSU rRNA". It matches the Rfam family "Bacterial small subunit ribosomal RNA", at positions 9 to 419 of the family's 1533-position model. The record is from RNAcentral. Lineage: Bacteria; Pseudomonadati; Pseudomonadota; Alphaproteobacteria.